GACGAACGCUGGCGGCGUGCCUAAUACAUGCAAGUAGAACGCUGAAGGAGGAGCUUGCUCGUCUGGAUGAGUUGCGAACGGGUGAGUAACGCGUAGGUAACCUGCCUGGUAGCGGGGGAUAACUAUUGGAAACGAUAGCUAAUACCGCAUAACAGUAGAUGUUGCAUGACAUUUGCUUAAAAGGUGCAAUUGCACCACUACCAGAUGGACCUGCGUUGUAUUAGCUAGUUGGUGGGGUAAAGGCUCACCAAGGGCACGAUACAUAGCCGACCCGAGAGGGUGAUCGGCCACACUGGGACGUGGGACCGGCCCCGAACCCUUCGGGGGGGAGCCGUAGGGAAUCUUUGGCAAUGGAGGGAAGGCUGAACGAAGCACGCCGCGUGAGUGAAGGAGGUUUUCGGGUCGUAAAGCUCUGUUGUAAGGGAAGAACGAGUGUGAGUGUGGAAAGUGCACACUGUGACGGUAUCUUGCCAGAAAGGGACGGCUAACUACGUG
This 495-nucleotide ribosomal RNA is filed under the name uncultured bacterium. RNAcentral describes it as "partial 16S ribosomal RNA". It matches the Rfam family "Bacterial small subunit ribosomal RNA", at positions 28 to 507 of the family's 1533-position model. The record is from RNAcentral.